This 497-nucleotide ribosomal RNA is filed under the name uncultured bacterium. RNAcentral's name for it is "partial 16S ribosomal RNA". It matches the Rfam family "Bacterial small subunit ribosomal RNA", at positions 28 to 507 of the family's 1533-position model. The record is from RNAcentral.
GAUGAACGCUGGCGGCGUGCCUAAUACAUGCAAGUCGAGCGAACGGACGAGAAGCUUGCUUCUCUGAUGUUAGCGGCGGACGGGUGAGUAACACGUGGAUAACCUACCUAUAAGACUGGGAUAACUUCGGGAAACCGGAGCUAAUACCGGUUAAUAUUUUGAACCGCAUGGUUCAAAAGUGAAAGACGGUCUUGCUGUCACUUAUAGAUGGAUCUGCGCUGCAUUAGCUAGUUGGUAAGGUAACGGCUUACCAAGGCAACGAUGCAUAGCCGACCUGAGAGGGUGAUCGGCCACACUGGAACUGAGACACGGUCCAGACUCCUACGGGAGGCAGCAGUAGGGAAUCUUCCGCAAUGGGCGAAAGCCUGACGGAGCAACGCCGCGUGAGUGAUGAAGGUCUUCGGAUCGUAAAACUCUGUUAUUAGGGAAGAACAUAUGUGUAAGUAACUGUGCACAUCUUGACGGUACCUAAUCAGAAAGCCACGGCUAACUACGUG